UACGAGGGGGGCAAAUGUUGUUCGGAAUCACUGGGCGUAAAGGGAGCGUAGGCGGGCUUCUAAGUUAGGUGUUUAAUCCCAGGGCCCAACCCUGGUCAGGCACCUAAAACUGGGAGUCUUGAAUAGUGGAGAGGACGAUGGAAUUGGGGGUGUAGCGGUGGAAUGCGUAGAGAUCCCCAAGAACACCAGUUGCGAAGGCGGUCGUCUGGACACAUAUUGACGCUGAGGCUCGAAAUCAUGGGGAGCAAACAGG
This 253-nucleotide ribosomal RNA is filed under the name uncultured bacterium. Its description in RNAcentral is "partial 16S ribosomal RNA". It matches the Rfam family "Bacterial small subunit ribosomal RNA", at positions 524 to 776 of the family's 1533-position model. The record is from RNAcentral.